This 404-nucleotide long non-coding RNA is filed under the name Mytilus galloprovincialis (Mediterranean mussel). Lineage: Eukaryota; Metazoa; Mollusca; Bivalvia; Mytilida; Mytilidae. The record is from RNAcentral.
GCGCGGUAGACGAAGAAAUGUAAUGGAAAGUAAAUACGAACCAAGCGCGGUAGCAGAGAAAUGUAAUGGAAGUUCAUCAGCAGUAUCGGAAACAUGCCACUCAUAGCGUCAUUUUCCAAAAAUAUAAAAUGACAUUCAGUCAUGGUUAAAAUUAAUAUUAAUUAAUAGUAACCCAAACAUGUCUAAAUAAAAAUUAACACACAUAUCAUCUCAAGGCAAUCACCAUUUCUUAUUACAAAAUUUUCAAGCAGUGUAAGGGAGGUAAUAAAACAUCUAUAUAACAGUAUUCUUUAAAUGGAAUUGGCUUACCUUCCUUACACUGCUUUCAAAUUGUCCUUUGACCAGAAAACCACUUGUUUUCCCUUUUUUUUGUCCCUAAUUCCCUAAUUGCUGAAUGAUUUGAG